CGAGAAAAUAGUUUUUUAAAAUUUAAAUAUUCAAAGCUGAGCAAAAACUGCAAUUUUGCUGUAGAAAUGUUUGUUUAGAAGUGAUAGUGAAAGGACUGUGAUAUAAUGUUUCAAGACGAAAGCCAAGAGCCAGUUUCGUUCGACUCUUCUUGGAAGACAAAACGGUAUAAAAAUAAAUUGUGAUGUUUUGAAGCGAAAGUGUUUGUAGUGCAGAAAGUAGUUUUGUUUUGAAAGUUUUAUAAUUAAUGAACAAGGCUUGUGAAGUAGUUAGUUUUAGUUUGUAAUGGUGUGGUUGCUUCGGGUUUUUGUCAAUAGGAAGUGACUGAAAUUAAUUCUUAUAUUCCCGGGGUAUUUACAAAAUUAUGUACUGUACCAAAUGUAUUUUUGCAAAAUUACUAAGUUUGGUAGAGUAGUACGUGUGUGUUUAACCCAUUGAACUAAAAAUAACUGGAACGCUACGUUCAAGCGGAAGUUUGAAGCUAAAUUAUACAAGCUCGUACACAGGCUUUAAAAGGCCCGUUUUAAACUGAAAAGGCCCGUUUUAAACUGAAAAGGCCCGUUUCCCUUUCGAUUCGCAUCUUGACAUGAAAACGUUCAAAACGGCAUGCUUCAAGCGCCCCCUGUAUUGUCUCGCGAGUAAAUCGCGCAGUAGAAACACGCGUGGAAGUGCGUGUCUGGGAGUCAAAACUGGCUUCAUUUGGCUUCAUGGGAGUCAAAUUUUGGCUUCAAAAUUUGCAUGCGCAGUUUACUGAACGUAGCGUUCCAGUUAUUUUUAGUUCAAUGGUUUAACCUGAGUAUCAGGCCGUACUUUUUAGGGCACAGGCAUGCCUGAUCGUGGGCGAAGGGGGUAAAAUAGAGCCUGAUACUCAGGUUAGUGUGUGUUGUUCCCUUCUAUAGGUCUGUCCAGGAUGGUUCAUGCCAAACCAGUGAAAUACUUACAAAUGAAGUUGAAACUCAAGCUUUGAGUAAAAGUGAUGCUAUGGUU
This is a non-coding RNA of Paramuricea clavata, 985 nucleotides long. The record is from the annotation of a GenBank genome assembly. NCBI's taxonomy places the organism in Eukaryota, Metazoa, Cnidaria, Anthozoa, Malacalcyonacea, Plexauridae.